CCUGGGGCUCUCCUCCUGGGCUGGAGGCUCCACCGCACUGCCAGGCUGCUCCCUCUCCUCUGAGGCUUCGCUAUAGUCGCUGACAUCUACGAGUUCCCGUGUAGACAAGCGGCUCCAUAUGUCUGAGGCCUCUUCACCCUUUUUUUCAGCCUCUUCAAGAAAAGCAGAUUGUCUUUUGGUCUUCUUUGAGGCGGGCUGCAAGACUUCCACCUCAUCCCAUGACACAGCCACACCUCUUUUCAUCUGGACCGGCCUGUAGUAAAUCUCCUUGACGGGUGCCGUUCCCAGAAUUCCAGAAUUCUCAGGAUUCUCCUCAGCCGGAGGCACGUGUGGUGGUCCCAGACCGCAGUCAGACACCGGGAGAAGAGUCCUCUGUCUCGGAGUAUUUCUCCUGCGUGUCGUCUCCAGGAAAGCUUCUAGCUGCUGCUGAGGACGGAGGAGGAGGAGGAGGAAUCCUUCAGUGGCAUCAGUAUAUUCUUCAAACUCAGCCUCUUGAGAUGACUCUACCCGAGGUCUUGGAGGAAAGGCAAGCUUCCUCUGACUCUACCCAAGACCCCUUUCCAC
Manis pentadactyla (Chinese pangolin) is the source of this 564-nucleotide long non-coding RNA. RefSeq lists it as uncharacterized. The transcript has 3 exons. Lineage: Eukaryota; Metazoa; Chordata; Mammalia; Pholidota; Manidae. The record is from RefSeq and is a predicted model, not a curated record.